ACGCUAGCUACAGGCUUAACACAUGCAAGUCGAGGGGAAACGGCAUUAAGUGCUUGCACUUUUUGGACGUCGACCGGCGCACGGGUGAGUAACGCGUAUCCAACCUUCCCAUGACUAAGGGAUAACCUGCCGAAAGGCAGACUAAUACCUUAUGGUCUUCACUGACGGCAUCAGAUGUGAAGUAAAGAUUUAUCGGUUAUGGAUGGGGAUGCGUCUGAUUAGCUUGUUGGCGGGGUAACGGCCCACCAAGGCAACGAUCAGUAGGGGUUCUGAGAGGAAGGUCCCCCACAUUGGAACUGAGACACGGUCCAAACUCCUACGGGAGGCAGCAGUGAGGAAUAUUGGUCAAUGGGCGAGAGCCUGAACCAGCCAAGUAGCGUGCAGGAAGACGGCCCUAUGGGUUGUAAACUGCUUUUGUAUGGGGAUAAAGUCAGUCACGUGUGAUUGUUUGCAGGUACCAUACGAAUAAGGACCGGCUAAUUCCGUGCCAGCAGCCGCGGUAAUACGGAAGGUCCGGGCGUUAUCCGGAUUUAUUGGGUUUAAAGGGAGCGUAGGCUGGAGAUUAAGUGUGUUGUGAAAUGUAGACGCUCAACGUCUGACUUGCAGCGCAUACUGGUUUCCUUGAGUACGCACAACGUUGGCGGAAUUCGUCGUGUAGCGGUGAAAUGCUUAGAUAUGACGAAGAACUCCGAUUGCGAAGGCAGCUGACGGGAGCGCAACUGACGCUGAAGCUCGAAGGUGCGGGUAUCGAACAGGAUUAGAUACCCUGGUAGUCCGCACAGUAAACGAUGGAUGCCCGCUGUUGGUACCUGGUAUCGGCGGCUAAGCGAAAGCAUUAAGCAUCCCACCUGGGGAGUACGCCGGCAACGGUGAAACUCAAAGGAAUUGACGGGGGCCCGCACAAGCGGAGGAACAUGUG
This 919-nucleotide ribosomal RNA is filed under the name uncultured bacterium. RNAcentral describes it as "bacterial SSU rRNA". It matches the Rfam family "Bacterial small subunit ribosomal RNA", at positions 33 to 943 of the family's 1533-position model. The record is from RNAcentral.